This 253-nucleotide ribosomal RNA is filed under the name uncultured bacterium. RNAcentral's name for it is "partial 16S ribosomal RNA". It matches the Rfam family "Bacterial small subunit ribosomal RNA", at positions 524 to 776 of the family's 1533-position model. The record is from RNAcentral.
UACGUAGGGUGCGAGCGUUAAUCGGAAUUACUGGGCGUAAAGCGUGCGCAGGCGGUUGGCAAAGUCAGCUGUGAAAGCCCCGGGCUUAACCUGGGAAUGGCGGUUGAAAAUGGUCGACUAGAAUCUGGCAGAGGGGGGUGGAAUUCCACGUGUAGCAGUGAAAUGCGUAGAGAUGUGGAGGAACACCGAUGGCGAAGGCAGCCCCCUGGGCUGAGAUUGACGCUCAGGCACGAAAGCGUGGGGAGCAAACAGG